This 576-nucleotide ribosomal RNA is filed under the name uncultured bacterium. Its description in RNAcentral is "bacterial SSU rRNA". It matches the Rfam family "Bacterial small subunit ribosomal RNA", at positions 329 to 919 of the family's 1533-position model. The record is from RNAcentral.
AUAGAGAUUCCUACGGGAGGCAGCAGUGGGGAAUUUUCCGCAAUGGGCGAAAGCCUGACGGAGCAACGCCGCGUGAGGGAUGAAGGCCUCUGGGCUGUAAACCUCUUCUAUCAAGGAAGAAGAUCUGACGGUACUUGAUGAAUAAGCCACGGCUAAUUCCGUGCCAGCAGCCGCGGUAAUACGGGAGUGGCAAGCGUUAUCCGGAAUUAUUGGGCGUAAAGCGUCCGCAGGCGGCCCUUCAAGUCUGCUGUUAAAAAGUGGAGCUUAACUCCACCAUGGCAGUGGAAACUGUUGGGCUUGAGUGUGGUAGGGGCAGAGGGAAUUCCCGGUGUAGCGGUGAAAUGCGUAGAUAUCGGGAAGAACACCAGUGGCGAAGGCGCUCUGCUGGGCCAUCACUGACGCUCAUGGACGAAAGCCAGGGGAGCGAAAGGGAUUAGAUACCCCUGUAGUCCUGGCCGUAAACGAUGAACACUAGGUGUCGGGGGAAUCGACCCCCUCGGUGUCGUAGCCAACGCGUUAAGUGUUCCGCCUGGGGAGUACGCACGCAAGUGUGAAACUCAAAGGAAUUGACGGAAU